This 497-nucleotide ribosomal RNA is filed under the name uncultured bacterium. RNAcentral describes it as "partial 16S ribosomal RNA". It matches the Rfam family "Bacterial small subunit ribosomal RNA", at positions 28 to 507 of the family's 1533-position model. The record is from RNAcentral.
GAUGAACGCUGGCGGCGUGCCUAAUACAUGCAAGUCGAGCGAACAGACGAGGAGCUUGCUCCUCUGACGUUAGCGGCGGACGGGUGAGUAACACGUGGAUAACCUACCUAUAAGACUGGGAUAACUUCGGGAAACCGGAGCUAAUACCGGAUAAUAUAUUGAACCGCAUGGUUCAAUAGUGAAAGACGGUUUUGCUGUCACUUAUAGAUGGAUCCGCGCCGCAUUAGCUAGUUGGUAAGGUAACGGCUUACCAAGGCGACGAUGCGUAGCCGACCUGAGAGGGUGAUCGGCCACACUGGAACUGAGACACGGUCCAGACUCCUACGGGAGGCAGCAGUAGAGAAUCUUCCGCAAUGGGCGAAAGCCUGACGGAGCAACGCCGCGUGAGUGAUGAAGGUCUUCGGAUCGUAAAACUCUGUUAUUAGGGAAGAACAAAUGUGUAAGUAACUAUGCACGUCUUGACGGUACCUAAUCAGAAAGCCACGGCUAACUACGUG